AUUGAACGCUGGCGGCAUGCCUUACACAUGCAAGUCGAACGGCAGCGGGGGAGAAGCUUGCUUUUCCUGCCGGCGAGUGGCGAACGGGUGAGUAAUACAUCGGAACGUGCCCUGUAGUGGGGGAUAACUAGUCGAAAGAUUAGCUAAUACCGCAUACGACCAGAGGGUGAAAGGGGGGGACCGCAAGGCCUCAUGCUAUAGGAGCGGCCGAUGUCUGAUUAGCUAGUUGGUGGGGUAAAGGCCUACCAAGGCGACGAUCAGUAGCUGGUCUGAGAGGACGAUCAGCCACACUGGGACUGAGACACGGCCCAGACUCCUACGGGAGGCAGCAGUGGGGAAUUUUGGACAAUGGGCGAAAGCCUGAUCCAGCAAUGCCGCGUGUGUGAAGAAGGCCUUCGGGUUGUAAAGCACUUUUGUCCGGAAAGAAAUGGCUCUGGUUAAUACCUGGGGUCGAUGACGGUACCGGAAGAAUAAGGACUGGCUAACUACGUGCCAGCCGCCGCCGUAA
This 508-nucleotide ribosomal RNA is filed under the name uncultured bacterium. Its description in RNAcentral is "partial 16S ribosomal RNA". It matches the Rfam family "Bacterial small subunit ribosomal RNA", at positions 30 to 523 of the family's 1533-position model. The record is from RNAcentral.